UGGCUGGGGAGUUGCUGUGCUCACACAAUCACAGAAUCAGUCAAGUUGGAAGGGACCACAGUGGGUCACUGGUCCAGCCUCAAAGCAGAGUCAGCACAUGGCACAGGAUUGUGUCCAGAAAGUUCUUGAGUAUCUCCAGUGAGGGAGACUCCACACACUCUCUGUGCAAUCUGUUCCAGUGCUCGGUCAUCCCCACAGUGAAAAAGAAGUUCUUCCUCAUUCUCAGGUGGAACUUCCUGGGCAUCAGUUUCUACCCCUUGCCUGUGUCCUGGUGAUUGGCACCACUGAGAAGAGCCUGGCUCCCUCCUCUUGGCGUCCCCCCUUUAGAUAAUUACAUGCACUAAUGAGGUCCUCUUUCAGUCAUCUGUUUUCAAGGCUGAACAGGCCCAGUUCCUUUACCCUUCUCCUGGAGAAGUUAAAAUAAAAAUUAUUCAAGUGUAGUAAAAUACACAAAAAUAUGUGUACCAUAAACCUGAACUUGGUAUUAAAAAGCUCCUGUUGAUGUAAGAUAAUCAGAACCCUAGGUCUUUAUUUGCAGUAUUUAGUCUGUAAAUGUGAGUUCAAUUUCCAGCUGAGACAUAAAUAGGGCUGAGAUUUGUGCUUUACCUGUUUUGCUCUGGUUUACUAUGCAAUCACAGAGUAAUAAAAGAUCUGUCACUUUAUAGAAGCAACAGAUCAGCCUUAUCUACAUAUUGAUGUUCAGAUGGGAACACGCACCCACAGGCCAUCCUGCAGGACACCAAAGCAUUGGAUUCAACUCUCUGGGAUUGGUGAACAGGGACAGAGUUAUGAAAUAAUUAAUGGAUAACAACUUUCAUGAAGUACUUGCUGACAUUUUAAUCCCAAGGUGCCACUACAGGCAGGACCUGCCUCUCAGAGAUAGUGCAAUUGAGACUCUGCCCAAGUAAUUUAUAAUUUGGCCCUGGUUCCUCCUAUUGGAUUGUCACAGGAUGUCCAUGAAAAGGACAGUGACAUGCAUCAUUCUGUAGUAACCAUCAAAGAAGCUGUAUUUAGUGACAUCUGCACUAUGGUCUCCCAGCUUCAUUCCACAGAGCAGGAGCCAGGAUGUCUGCUCACAGCUGUCUUGCUGCAUGGCUGGCAGGAGGUGCUGAUACUGAGCUGAAAUUGCAACAUGCCUUUGGGAAGCAGAUGCAUGGGUGUA
Molecule: long non-coding RNA, 1162 nt
Filed under: Parus major (Great Tit)
Lineage: Eukaryota; Metazoa; Chordata; Aves; Passeriformes; Paridae
Description: lncRNA (ENSPMJG00000015245.1)
Source: RNAcentral